UACGUAGGGUGCGAGCGUUGUCCGGAAUUAUUGGGCGUAAAGAGCUCGUAGGCGGUGUGUCACGUCGUUCGUGAAAACCUGCAGCUUAACUGUGGGCGUGCGGUCGAUACGGGCAUCACUGGAGUUCGGCAGGGGAGACUGGAAUUCCUGGUGUAGCAGUGAAAUGCGUAGAUAUCAGGAGGAAUACCGAUGGCGAAGGCAGGUCUCUGGGCUAACACUGACGCUCAUGCACGAAAGCGUGGGGAGCAAACAGG
RNAcentral lists this ribosomal RNA (254 nucleotides) under uncultured bacterium. RNAcentral's name for it is "partial 16S ribosomal RNA". It matches the Rfam family "Bacterial small subunit ribosomal RNA", at positions 524 to 776 of the family's 1533-position model. The record is from RNAcentral.